RNAcentral lists this ribosomal RNA (454 nucleotides) under uncultured bacterium. RNAcentral's name for it is "partial 16S ribosomal RNA". It matches the Rfam family "Bacterial small subunit ribosomal RNA", at positions 28 to 507 of the family's 1533-position model. The record is from RNAcentral.
GAUGAACGCUGACAGAAUGCUUAACACAUGCAAGUCAACUUGAACUUCGGUUUGGGUGGCGGACGGGUGAGUAACGCGUAAAGAACUUGCCUCACAGCUAGGGACAACAUUUGGAAACGAAUGCUAAUACCUGAUAUUAUGAUUAUAUGGCAUCGUAUAAUUAUGAAAGCUAUAUGCGCUGUGAGAGAGCUUUGCGUCCCAUUAGCUAGUUGGAGAGGUAACAGCUCACCAAGGCGAUGAUGGGUAGCCGGCCUGAGAGGGUGAUCGGCCACAAGGGGACUGAGACACGGCCCGUACGCCUACGGGAGGCAGGAGUGGAGAAUAUUGGACAAUGGACCGAGAGUCUGAUCAAGCAAUUCUGUGUGCACGAUGAAGUUUUUCGGAAUGUAAAGUGCUUUCAGUUGGGAAGAAAAAAAUGACGGUACCAACAGAAGAAGUGACGGCUAAAUACGUG